RNAcentral lists this ribosomal RNA (492 nucleotides) under uncultured bacterium. Its description in RNAcentral is "partial 16S ribosomal RNA". It matches the Rfam family "Bacterial small subunit ribosomal RNA", at positions 29 to 507 of the family's 1533-position model. The record is from RNAcentral.
AGUGAACGCUGGCGGUAGGCCUAACACAUGCAAGUCGAACGGCAGCACAGUAAGAGCUUGCUCUUACGGGUGGCGAGUGGCGGACGGGUGAGGAAUACAUCGGAAUCUACUUUUUCGUGGGGGAUAACGUAGGGAAACUUACGCUAAUACCGCAUACGACCUACGGGUGAAAGCUGGGGAUCUUCGGACCUUGCGCGAUCGAAUGAGCCGAUGUCGGAUUAGCUAGUUGGCGGGGUAAAGGCCCACCAAGGCGACGAUCCGUAGCUGGUCUGAGAGGAUGAUCAGCCACACUGGAACUGAGACACGGUCCAGACUCCUACGGGAGGCAGCAGUGGGGAAUAUUGGACAAUGGGCGCAAGCCUGAUCCAGCCAUACCGCGUGGGUGAAGAAGGCCUUCGGGUUGUAAAGCCCUUUUGUUGGGAAAGAAAAGCAGCAGGUUAAUACCCCGCUGUUCUGACGGUACCCAAAGGAUAAGCACCGGCUAACUUCGUG